CCAAUAGCGUAUAUUAAAGUUGUUGCAGUUAAAAAGCUCGUAGUUGAAUUUCGGGGUUAGUAGAUUGGUCAUGCCUUUGGUAUGUACUGGUCUUACUGAUUCCUCCUUCCUGAUGAACCGUAAUGCCAUUAAUUUGGUGUUGCGGGGAGACUGGACUGUUACUUUGAAAAAAUUAGAGUGUUUAAAGCAGGCUAACGCUUGAAUACAUUAGCAUGGAAUAAUGAAAUAGGACGUUCGAUCUUAUUUUGUUGGUUUCUAGGAUUGACGUAAUGAUUAAUAGGGAUAGUUGGGGGCAUUAGUAUUCAAUUGUCAGAGGUGAAAUUCUUGGAUUUAUUGAAGACUAAGUACUGCGAAAGCAUUUGCCAAGGAUGUUUUCAUUAAUCAAGAACGAAAGUUAGGGGAUCGAAGACGAUCAGAUACCGUCGUAGUCUUAACCAUAAACUAUGCCGACUAGGGAUCGGAUGAUGUUAAUUUUUUAAUGACUCAUUCGGCGCCUUACG
RNAcentral lists this ribosomal RNA (500 nucleotides) under uncultured Glomeromycotina. Its description in RNAcentral is "partial small subunit ribosomal RNA". It matches the Rfam family "Eukaryotic small subunit ribosomal RNA", at positions 591 to 1092 of the family's 1831-position model. The record is from RNAcentral. Lineage: Eukaryota; Fungi; Glomeromycota.